This 440-nucleotide ribosomal RNA is filed under the name uncultured bacterium. RNAcentral's name for it is "partial 16S ribosomal RNA". It matches the Rfam family "Bacterial small subunit ribosomal RNA", at positions 338 to 795 of the family's 1533-position model. The record is from RNAcentral.
CCUACGGGUGGCUGCAGUGGGGAAUAUUGCACAAUGGGGGAAACCCUGAUGCAGCGACGCCGCGUGAGCGAUGAAGUAUUUCGGUAUGUAAAGCUCUAUCAGCAGGGAAGAAAAUGACGGUACCUGACUAAGAAGCCCCGGCGAACUACGUGCCAGCAGCCGCGGUAAUACGUAGGGGGCAAGCGUUAUCCGGAUUUACUGGGUGUAAAGGGAGCGUAGGCGGGUUAGCAAGUCAGAAGUGAAAGCCCGGGGCUCAACUCCGGGACUGCUUUUGAAACGGUUGAACUAGAUUGCAGGAGAGGUAAGUGGAAUUCCUGGUGUAGCGGUGAAAUGCGUAGAUAUUAGGAGGAACACCAGUGGCGAAGGCGGCUUACUGGACUGUAAAUGACGCUGAGGCUCGAAAGCGUGGGGAGCGAACAGGAUUAGAUACCCGAGUAGUC